GACGAACGCUGGCGGCGUGCUUAACACAUGCAAGUCGAACGGAAAGGCCCUGCUUUUGUGGGGUGCUCGAGUGGCGAACGGGUGAGUAACACGUGAGUAACCUGCCCUUGACUUUGGGAUAACUUCAGGAAACUGGGGCUAAUACCGGAUAGGAGCUCCUGCUGCAUGGUGGGGGUUGGAAAGUUUCGGCGGUUGGGGAUGGACUCGCGGCUUAUCAGCUUGUUGGUGGGGUAGUGGCUUACCAAGGCUUUGACGGGUAGCCGGCCUGAGAGGGUGGCCGGACACCUUGGGCCUGCGGUACGGCCCAGACCCCUACGGGAGGCAACAGGGGGGAAUAUUGCCCCAUGGGCGGAAGCCUGAUGCAACCACCCCGCGUGCGGGAUGACGGCCUUCCGGUUGUAAACCGCUUUCGCCUGUGACGAAGCGUGAGUGACGGUAAUGGGUAAAGAAGCACCGGCUAACUACGUG
Molecule: ribosomal RNA, 468 nt
Filed under: uncultured bacterium
Lineage: Bacteria
Description: partial 16S ribosomal RNA
Rfam family: Bacterial small subunit ribosomal RNA
Source: RNAcentral